Molecule: ribosomal RNA, 357 nt
Filed under: uncultured Desulfobulbus sp.
Lineage: Bacteria; Pseudomonadati; Thermodesulfobacteriota; Desulfobulbia; Desulfobulbales; Desulfobulbaceae
Description: bacterial SSU rRNA
Rfam family: Bacterial small subunit ribosomal RNA
Source: RNAcentral
UCUGGAGACAGGUGCUGCAUGGCUGUCGUCAGCUCGUGUCGUGAGAUGUUGGGUUAAGUCCCGCAACGAGCGCAACCCUUGCCUUUAGUUGCCAGCAGUUCGGCUGGGCACUCUAAAGGGACUGCCGGUGUUAAACCGGAGGAAGGUGGGGAGUGACGUCAAGUCCUCAUGGCCUUUAUGACCAGGGCUACACACGUACUACAAUGGCCGAUACAAAGGGCAGCGACACUGCGAGGUGAAGCCAAUCCCGUAAAAAUCGGUCUCAGUCCGGAUUGGAGUCUGCAACUCGACUCCAUGAAGUUGGAAUCGCUAGUAAUCGUGGAUCAGCAUGCCACGGUGAAUACGUUCCCGGGCCUU